RNAcentral lists this long non-coding RNA (592 nucleotides) under Rattus norvegicus (Norway rat). Its description in RNAcentral is "long non-coding RNA NONRATT014568". Lineage: Eukaryota; Metazoa; Chordata; Mammalia; Rodentia; Muridae. The record is from RNAcentral.
AAAGAUAGUAGACAUUCGAGCUCCCCUCCGGACUUCUCCUCCCUCUCCCUCUCGCCCUUCCUGGGAGCCUCUGCUCAGGCUUCUGGCCCCAGCAGCUCUGGAUCAGGCGAGGGCGUUCCCGGGGUGGGUAAGGGAUGCUCCUUAGAGCUAGCUGAAUUCAGCCUGAGUCCAGAAUGGAGGGUGUUCUGCCACCCCAUUUUGAACCGCCCGGGCUGGACCCCCUCUGUACAGCACACAGGAAAGUCAGAAUGCUCUGGACUGGACGCCCAGCCCGGCGCAGGCACCCUCUUCCACGCCCGCGGGCCGCAAGGGCUGCUGCCCUCUGCCACGCCCCUGGUGAAGGGAGUCGGCCCCAAGUCGCCCCGCACCCCAGCCCUGCAUGCAGGUGCCCUCGCUCCGCCCCUCUGCCCUGCCCCUGCCCUUGCCGCACACAGCCCUCCAGGGGCCGGCUGAGAGUGGAGCAGAAAGGGCCCCGGAGCUGAGCGAGGAGGACAAGGCAGCCUCCACCUGCGCUAGGUAGGCGUCCUGCUCUCGAGACUUUGAGUUCCUGUGGAGGGUGGGGGGUGUCAUCCUUUUAAAAGAGUGUUCUGGA